Molecule: ribosomal RNA, 394 nt
Filed under: uncultured bacterium
Lineage: Bacteria
Description: bacterial SSU rRNA
Rfam family: Bacterial small subunit ribosomal RNA
Source: RNAcentral
UGAGGAAUAUUGGUCAAUGGGCGAGAGCCUGAACCAGCCAUGUCGCGUGCAGGACUACGGCCCUACGGGUCUUAAACUGCUUUUGCCGGGGGAUAAAGUCGGGGGUUCGCCCCCCGUUCGCAGGUACCCGGCGAAUAAGGAUCGGCUAACUCCGUGCCAGCAGCCGCGGUAAUACGGAGGAUCCGAGCGUUAUCCGGAUUUAUUGGGUGUAAAGGGUGCGUAGGCGGCCUGUCAAGUCGGCGGUGAAACCCCCGGGCUCAACCCGGUGACUGCCGUCGGAACUGGCGGGGUUGGGUACGGUGAGGGUGCGCGGAAUGUGUGGUGUAGCGGUGAAAUGCUUAGAUAUCACACAGGACACGGGUCGCGAAGGCAACGCACUACGCCGUAACUGACG